Non-coding RNA from Kogia breviceps (pygmy sperm whale), 1328 nucleotides. Lineage: Eukaryota; Metazoa; Chordata; Mammalia; Artiodactyla; Physeteridae. The record is from RefSeq and is a predicted model, not a curated record.
GGAUCGCCGGGGGUGGUACAUUACAGACCCUGUUCUUAUUUUGUUUGGUUUUAAACGAAAGGAGCCCUUGCUGGCUGCUGGCUCGCGCCUCCCUGGCCCCCCUCCAGAAGGCAGCGGGCAUCUUGCGGAGGCAGCUGACCCGGCGGGGCGGCGACGUGGAGGGCGGCCGGGCUGCCGGGGCUUCGGGGCCGAGUCCGUGACCUCGGCCUCAUGAGUCGUGGCUCUAACCGGCCGCGCUCAUCAGUGCCGAGCUGUGUCGUCCAAGUGGUGAUGCCCUGUCGCUUAUCACCUCUUCGAGGGCUGCCGCGGGUAAUUCAAAGCUCUAACUCUACCAAGAAGAGGGCCAAUCAGCCUCGCGGGAGUUAGACAGAAACGCCACUGUUCCCACUCAAUGAAAAGGAAGCAAGGAACAAGCAGACCCCAGAAAGCGGGCCCAGUCUUCAUUAGAGCUCAGGGCAUCAAGGAAAAAGAAACGCUAAAGGUCAAGCUUUUAGGAUAAAAGUAGAGUUUCGGUAAACUUGUUGUCCGGCGCCAUGAGUUCAACAGCUUCCCAAUACUUAAAGGAUCUUUCGAAUGAGAUCAGUUGUGACAUUUAUAAAAGUGAUUUUUGGAUACUGUACCAAAGAAAGGAGUCAACAUGUGGCAGAUCUACGUAACUCAGUGAACCAGGAUUUUCCAAAUGACCAGGGCAUGUUAAAGCAGCACGCACGGGUAAAACAUCAACUCAAAGUACAAGACAGACCAGUGGAUUUCAAUGUAAAUGUGCCCGUUAACCCUGGAUGCUAACAGGAAGAUUUCUUUCUCUUGCAUCUGUUUGACCAUAUUUUUUCAGGCUGUUCGUGAGGAACUCGGCAUGGAAAAAAAUGAUUUAGGAAGUUGGCUUCUGAUCAACUGCUUCACUGAAUUAAAGUGCAAUCGGGAGGAAAUGGCCAAUAUCUUAGAUCACUUCCACUGCUGGAUCCUGUGGGGCCUCAGAAGUCUUUAAGGAUGGAUUCUUUGAAAAAGAAGAAAAAGCAUAAAAUGUGUCAGGGCAAUGGAAUUCCUAAUUUCCCUCAGAAAUUUUACCUCUUAAAUGGAGUUCUCCCACCAACGGUUCAGUGAGAGAUGGUUUCCUUAUUGUCAUUUAUUACCCACGACAGGCAGCAACACUGCCUCGGAUACAACCGCCAUUCACCACGCUUAUCUGGCAGAGACUGCAAGGCAGAAGAAGGCUCCAAGUGCCUUUCUUCUGGAAUCCCGUUCCCAAAGGCAACAGUCAAAGCAAACCUCUAUUAACGGGAACACUGGUAUCUACGGAGUGCUCUGGCCAGAAGAUUCCACUCCUCCUA